This 774-nucleotide ribosomal RNA is filed under the name uncultured Neocallimastigales. RNAcentral describes it as "partial large subunit ribosomal RNA". It matches the Rfam family "Eukaryotic large subunit ribosomal RNA", at positions 22 to 635 of the family's 3401-position model. Lineage: Eukaryota; Fungi; Neocallimastigomycota; Neocallimastigomycetes; Neocallimastigales. The record is from RNAcentral.
CUAUACAUGACUCUGCGCAUAUCAAUAAGCGGAGGAAAAGAAACUAACAAGGAUUCCCCUAGUAACGGCGAGUGAAGCGGGAAGAGCUCAAAUUUGAAAUCUUAAAGGGUUUCCCUUUACGAAUUGUAGUUUAAAGAAGUGUUUUCUGUUGAGGUUUUGGUAAAAGUUCUUUGGAAUAGGACAUCAUAGAGGGUGAGAAUCCCGUAUUUGACCUUUACUUUCAACUUUGUGAUACACUUUCAAAGAGUCGGAUUGUUUGGGAAUGCAGUCCAAAAUGGGUGGUAAAUUUCAUCUAAAGCUAAAUAUUGGCGAGAGACCGAUAGCGAACAAGUACCGUGAGGGAAAGAUGAAAAGAACUUUGAAAAGAGAGUUAAACAGUACGUGAAAUUGUCAAAAGGGAAGCGUUUGACACCAGUGUUGUUUUUCUGAAAAUCAAUUAAAGAACUGUUUAUGCUAAGUUGUUUAGACUUUAUCAGCUAUCUGUUUAGUUUUGAGCUUUUCUUUAAUGCACUUUUCAGUUAACAAGUCAACAUCAAUUUCUUUUGCUGUAAAAAAGCUUGAGGAAGGUGGCUUGAGAUUCGUCUUAAGUGUUUAUAGCCUCUUGCCUAUGCAGUCGGAGAGAUUGAGGUCUGCAGCGUAGAUCCUUCGGGGCUAAAUGCAUUUGUGCUAAGUUAUAGCAUUUUAUAGACAACUUGUUGACUAUGAUUUGUCUUGUAGCUUACUCGCUUAUGUUAUUUUACCUACGCUUAGGAUGUUGAUCUACAGAGCGAGAGU